This 253-nucleotide ribosomal RNA is filed under the name uncultured bacterium. Its description in RNAcentral is "partial 16S ribosomal RNA". It matches the Rfam family "Bacterial small subunit ribosomal RNA", at positions 524 to 776 of the family's 1533-position model. The record is from RNAcentral.
GACAGAGGGUGCAAACGUUGUUCGGAAUUACUGGGCGUAAAGCGUGUGUAGGCGGCUACAUAAGUCGGAUGUGAAAGCCCCGGGCUCAACCCGGGAAGUGCACUCGAUACUGCGUAGCUUGAGUCUCGGAGAGGUUGGUGGAAUUCUCGGUGUAGAGGUGAAAUGCGUAGAUAUCGAGGGGAACACCUGCGGCGAUGGCGGGUUGCUGGGCUGACACUGACGCUGAUGUGCGAAAGCUAGGGGAGCGAACGGG